AUUGAACGCUGGCGGCAGGCCUAACACAUGCAAGUCGAGCGAGCGGCGGACGGGUGAGUAAUGUAUGGGGACUGCCCGAUAGAGGGGGAUAACUACUGGAAACGGUGGCUAAUAACGCAUACUAUCGGAUAACCCAUAUGGGAUUAGCUGGUAGGUGGGGUAAAGGCUCACCUGGGCGACGAUCUCUAGCUGGUCUGCGAGGAUGAUACGCAAAACUGGGACGUAGACAAGGCCCAGACUCCUACGGAGGCAGCAGUGGGGAAUAUGGCACAAUGGGCGCAAGCCUGAUGCAGCCAUGCCGCGUGUAUGAAGAAGGCCUUAGGGUUGUAAAGUACUUUCAGCGGGGAGGCGUUACCCGCAGAAGAAGCACCGGCUAACUCCGGGCCAGCAGCCGCGGUAAUUC
Molecule: ribosomal RNA, 403 nt
Filed under: uncultured bacterium
Lineage: Bacteria
Description: partial 16S ribosomal RNA
Rfam family: Bacterial small subunit ribosomal RNA
Source: RNAcentral